Small nuclear RNA from Oryctolagus cuniculus (rabbit), 132 nucleotides. Its record names the gene U2. It matches the Rfam family "U2 spliceosomal RNA". Rfam says of the family: U2 is a small nuclear RNA (snRNA) component of the spliceosome (involved in pre-mRNA splicing). Complementary binding between U2 snRNA (in an area lying towards the 5' end but 3' to hairpin I) and the branchpoint sequence (BPS) of the intron results the bulging out of an unpaired adenosine, on the BPS, which initiates a nucleophilic attack at the intronic 5' splice site, thus starting the first of two transesterification reactions that mediate splicing. Lineage: Eukaryota; Metazoa; Chordata; Mammalia; Lagomorpha; Leporidae. The record is from Ensembl.
AUUGCUUCUUGGCCUUUUGGGGAAGAUCAAGUGUAGUAUUUGUUCUUAUCAGUUUAACAAGGGACUUAGAGCAAGAAACUGAAUGUUUCUUUAUAAAGGCUUUAAGAAUCUAGGGUUUGAAGGCAACACACU